GCUGGCGGCAGGCCUAACACAUGCAAGUCGAGCGGCCGUAGCAAUACGGCAGCGGCAGACGGGAGAGUAACACGUGGGAACGCGCCCUUCGGUUCGGAAUAACUCAGGGAAACUUGGGCUAAUACCGGAUACGCCCUUACGGGGAAAGAUUUAUUGCCGAAGGAACGGCCCGCGUCCGAUUAGCUUGUUGGUGAGGUAACGGCUCACCAAGGCGACGAUCGGUAGCUGGUCUGAGAGGAUGACCAGCCUCACUGGGACUGAGACACGGCCCAGACUCCUACGGGAGGCAGCAGUGGGGAAUAUUGGACAAUGGGCGCAAGCCUGAUCCAGCCAUGCCGCGUGAGUGAUGAAGGCCCUAGGGUUGUAAAGCUCUUUCAGCGGGGAAGAUAAUGACGGUACCCGCAGAAGAAGCCCCGGCUAACUUCGUGCCAGCAGCCGCGGUAAUACGAAGGGGGCUAGCGUUGCUCGGAAUUACUGGGCGUAAAGCGCACGUAGGCGGAUUGUUAAGUCGGGGGUGAAAUCCUGGAGCUCAACUCCAGAACUGCCUUCGAUACUGGCGAUCUCGAGUUCGGGAGAGGUGAGUGGAACUGCGAGUGUAGAGGUGAAAUUCGUAGAUAUUCGCAAGAACACCAGUGGCGAAGGCGGCUCACUGGCC
Molecule: ribosomal RNA, 655 nt
Filed under: uncultured soil bacterium
Lineage: Bacteria
Description: bacterial SSU rRNA
Rfam family: Bacterial small subunit ribosomal RNA
Source: RNAcentral